ACAAGUACCGUGAGGGAAAGUUGAAAAGUACUUUGAAAAGAGAGUGCAAGAGAACGUGAAACCGAAGUAAUGGAAGCGAAUGGAGUCGACGUAUCUUUAACGUAUUCAGUUGUUGAGCAGUCGGAUUGCUGUCGUUGGCCUGUGGUCGCGGCGGUAUUGUUCGGCGGUUUGGCGAUGCAUUUGCGUUUUGAGUGCGCCGAGUCGUGCGGUGUUGUCGGUUGAUGCGUGUUAAGAGGAAAUUUCUUCGGAUUUGAACCCUUGGCGCGUGGAGGCUGGUUGAUGCUGCAUGAUUUUGUGGAGACGUUUCUGUGUGUUGCGGUGCCGGUGCGUUCAGCUCGUUUGUUACACAUGUGUGGCUUGCUUGUUGAGCGUAUGGGUGUUGUAAUGUGCCCAACGUUCUUCUCGGUGUAUAGUCGAUGACCCAUUCGACCCGUCUUGAAACACGGACCAAGGAGUUUAUGGUAUACGCGAGUCAUUGGGCUUUUAAACCCAAAGGCGUAAUGAAAGUGAGACCUUAUUGGUUUUAACGUGAUCGGUUGUUGUUUCGACGGCUUCCGAGCAACGUUGCCCCGUUUCGAAGACUUGUCUUGUUGCGGAGGUUGAGCGUAUGCUGUGAGACCCGAAAGAUGGUGAACUAUGCCUGAACAGGAUGAAGUCAGAGGAAACUCUGAUGGAAGUCCGAAGCGGUUCUGACGUGCAAAUCGAUCGUCUGAUUUUGGUAUAGGGGCGCAAGACUAAUCGAACCAUCUAGUAGCUGGUUCCUUCCGA
This 768-nucleotide ribosomal RNA is filed under the name Bursaphelenchus arthuroides. Its description in RNAcentral is "eukaryotic LSU rRNA". It matches the Rfam family "Eukaryotic large subunit ribosomal RNA", at positions 344 to 964 of the family's 3401-position model. Lineage: Eukaryota; Metazoa; Nematoda; Chromadorea; Rhabditida; Aphelenchoididae. The record is from RNAcentral.